RNAcentral lists this long non-coding RNA (6178 nucleotides) under Xyrichtys novacula (pearly razorfish). The record is from RNAcentral. Lineage: Eukaryota; Metazoa; Chordata; Actinopteri; Labriformes; Labridae.
GAUUAGAAUCCGGCUGCUGCUUUAGGAACAAGUUGGAAAUGCGCCAAGGACUUAUUGCCAAAUCCAGAAUCCGGAGUAUUACCAUAGUCUAGACAGUUUGUGAUAGAUGGAUGAGUUUCAAGGUUAUUGACAAGGGAAUGUUUUGGGAACUAAGUAACUUGAGAGAGGAGUAUGCCUGUGUUUGUCUGUGAAUGCAUCACAGUUUAAACAUUUUGGUUUGGGCUUAAAACUGGUGUCAAAAAUAACAUUUAUGUUUCUGUGGUGCCUGGUAACAUUUUUAGGUUAUUCGUCAAGUUGUCUACAAAACUGAGAAAAUGACAGAACUGGAAAUUCCUCUGAAAAUUUAUGCAUCUGACUGCUGAAUCUUGUGUUGUACAGUUUGAAGUCUUCCAGUGCUAUUCCUUUGUUUAAAUUUAGCUCUUAAAGUGGAUUUUACAGACUGCAGGACAGGAAGAAUUUUGUUCCGUCAGCACAAAGAAGCAAAAUUAUUAGGGAUGUACUGAUAGAAUAACAGAAACAGCUAAUAUUUAGCCUCCUGACAGACAUUGGUCAAACACACUAAAGCAAAGCACAACUGUUAGUGUUGUAAAAUGCCACAAAUAAGGACUUUCUUGUCGAGGUUCUCCAGGCCUGUAGGGUAAGGUGACAAGACAUCCCCGAUUUCUGGGGACAGUCCCCGUAUUGGAUGACCUGUCCCCGGAAAUGUCCCCGAUUAAAGCUUUUUUUAAGAAUGAGAACAAAAACGUUGUGUGUAGACUAGAACAACGGUUAUUACGGUAGCUGAGUAGGUAGGAAGCACGAGUAAGCAUGUUGCGCGCAGUCCUGAACAACAGUUUUUACGGGGGGUUAUUACAGGCUAGCAUCCAGAUGCUACAACUAAAGCCCUGCACUGGUCUCUGGAGAUGGGCAGAUCACUGUCCCUGACAUCCUUCUUUUUCUAAUUUCUUAACUGCAGUAUGAAUAAAGGAAUUGAUUCAUGUAUAUUUUUCAACUUUGGGAUUAUUAAUUUACUGAACAUUUAAUAACUUCCAAGCUACAUUUAUUAAACUCAAAGUUCUUCAUGCUCCAGGCCUGAUAACUUCAGUAUCUUGGCGCUCCUGAAGCUCCUGUGGUUGAGAAGUAAAGACCAACACACCCCAAUACAUCUGACACAGGUUAGCUAAUAGCAGUGGUGGCCACACUGAGAUUGGUAACUGACCUAAGCUUAAUGCUUGUUACUUAAUGAUAGCUCUCUGUCCAUCAGAAACCCUUUCUUGAUAAUGAUUGUCAACAUCUUAUUUAUGUUUAUUAAGUUGUGUUUUGGCACAGAGGAUGAGGACAUGAUUGUCAGAAUUACUCCACUCCAGUUGCGUUCAAGGCAGGGUGAUCUAAUGACAGAUAUAUCAGUGUGUGGUCCUGCCAAUACCACAUUUGACUUACCGCCCCCUACAGGCCUGCAGGACUCAAGUGAAGAAGUUUUUGAUUUGCUGUGUUUAUCUCUUGAAUGCCUUUUCUGCUUUAAACUUUGCUUCAUUUGUGUUUUUGUGGCAUAUUUGCUGUGUACGCAGCUGUUUCUGCUUUUUGCAUCACGUCAUGUCAUUUGCUCUGCGUUCGCCUCAUCUUUUUGGGUGUGGUUUUGUGUUUGGAUCGUUCAAGCUUUUGCAGCACUUUUGACUUCAUGAAAAUUGUUCGGACCAUUUCAGAUUCUCCGCCCUUGUCAGCCACCGUAGCUAACAAACAACAGUUUCAUAGCUCAACUGAAACAGGCAUAGCAAUUAAAAGAAAACACUGGUUUAUGGAUUGACUAUCGAUUGCAUCACUAUUUUCCCCAUGGGUAACAGUAUUGGCCCUUAUUUACACAAUUGCUGCACCUCUAUGUGAUAUAAGUGAGUAUGUGGUUGAUGUCCAAAAGGUUUAUGAUAAAUAUGUCAUAGUUGGUCCUGACUCAACACCAAAAUAAUCCUACUUCCAGUUGACAAAGACCUGAAGACUGUUUUCAUCUCGGUGAAUGGACACAGACCAGCUGAAUUUUCAAUCACUGCUCACGAAGGUCAAGGAGGAUAAAGUGAUCAGUGGCGUGAAAUGCAACACAGAGGUCAAGGUGAACCAGCGCUGAUAGAUGACUAACAGCAGCUGCUAAAAGCAGAACAUUCAUCACACUAAGUACAAGUGCAGGGCAGCAAUGAGCCCCGGCCAGCACCUAAUGAAACUUAGUCAAAUCCAUUUGUUACGGUAAAUAAAACAACUCUGUCUCUGUCUGUGAUGUUAGUCUGUGACUGCAUGCUGUAUUAAUUGCAUCAGAAAGCGUAUAGGGAUUGUCACAGCAUCAAAUAAAGGUAUGAGCUAAAAAUUAAACACAUAAACCCCAUAUUUGAAUAAAAAUCUACAUAACACUAUCCAGGUGUUUGAAUUCGUUCGGGGUCAUCGUGGUGCUUUGAUUCCACCGACUGUAAAUUAUGUGUUUUUUUUGUCAUUUGGAACUCCAACCAUCCUUUAUCCCUCUCUCUCUCCUUUUUCUCCUCCCCCUCUCUGGCCAGAGCUCAGGGACACAUUUACUCAGGAACAUUUAGAGCGUACUGAAACCUCCUGGCUCAACACUGAACACAGGUUCAGAUAGGUAGAGAUAUGAUUAUCAGGUUGAAAGGGGGAAGUGAAUGAGAUGUUGGAACAAGAACAACAGGCAUAAACAGGGACGACACGUCCUCCCUGAGUGUAUUACCUGAUCGGGACAUAUCGGAGUUGCAUCUGAGGGAGGCCUCCCAGAGACCAUUGUCUCCAGAUUGCUCCUGGUCCCCCUCAAUUACAGGGUUAUGUGGUUGUCAGCAGUGGUUUGAAAAAAGGGGUCAGUGUGUGAAUGGAGGCGCUAUGAGAGGGUGUUAAAAAACUGAGGCUGUUUCACACAAAACACGGAGGUGAGAGACUCACCAUUUACCAAAACUAAACUCAUCUCCCACUUUCUCUCACCCAAACACAGCUCUCCAGCCGUUGAUGAAAAUGUUCCAAAAUGUCCUAAACCCUCUGUGUUGUUUUAAGAUGACAGACAUAGAGCUAAUCAGGGGAUGAUGGGCUGUUUAUUGCAUUUUUGGCCUAACAUAGAUCAGAUCAACUGUGCCGUGAGGGUGCCUGCGGCAGAUCAGCCGUCUGACGAGGCCUGUUCUACCAUGGUGACCCUGUUCAUUUGCUGCAGGGCCUGAAGGGAGGCAGAGUAGAGUGAGGUCAAGAGGAAUUGGAAAUUUGAUCCCCCUCCAAAAAAAGUGAAAUGACAUUCCAAUAACCCUGAGACCCGCCGCUUGGACCUGCCUCACAGAAUGGCCUGAGGCUGUGGUGUGUGUGUUUGCAUUUCAUCAAUACCAAGAGUGUGUGUGCGCUGAAAUGAAGCAUGUUCAGACCACUGAUCACUAUUCCAGCAUACAGAAUGCAGUUUGAUGCUCAAAUGCACAGACUCUGAAUAUUUUAUUGGUCCUUUUGAAACUAGAGGGUGACUUUAUGCAACAUUUUCCAUGUCUGUGGUUUAACAUAAAAGACAGGAUAGUAUAAACGGUAGGAGAGGGAAAAAAAACAAGUUGUAAAAUGUCUAAAAAGAACAGAAGUCAGACAGUAUAUUGUGGACAAAAGCAAAAAUGAGCACUACAGCAGAUGCUGUUAGCAGUUCUGUAGAUACAGUUAGUUGUCUGUGUAACCGAGCAGCAAACACACAGCUGCUGUGGAGGUUUGACAUCAGAACCAGGACGUGCAGUGUCUGCUGUUUAUGUUGUGCUGGCUGGACUUUUUUGAGAACAAAUAUUCACAACACUACAAGUGAAAUAAAUGCUCUUCAGUUUAGCCAUCGAUUCCUUGAAAAAGGGUGUGAGUGUGUUUUUAUGUUUUUGCAGCAAUAAGAGGAAAAAAAGCUUAUGAAACAACACCUGUGAUGUUUUUAUGUAUGCAGUACACCUCUAUAACCCCACACACUGCAUCUGUCUUUCCAUUUUCCACAUUUUGUGUGUGUGAGUGAGUGAGUGAGUGUGUGUGUGAGCAUGUCCAGCUGGCAGAGGACUCAGAUGAUUCUGGGAAGUUAAAGGUUGAGUGGGCGUAUGUUUGCGCUUUAAGGUGAAUUUGAUCAAAUGUGUUUGUCUGUCUGUGUGUGUUUUACACCCAGGAUUUCCCAUCCUCUAAUGUUGAGCAUCUACUGUCUGAAUAAAAAAAAUAAAAAGACAAAACACUUAUAUUUCCUCCCACAAACACUGUGUUUCAAUACUUUUUCACAAAAAGCAUGCACACUACAGAAGACGGUGAUUGGGGGAAAAAACAUCUCUGUAAGUUAGACUAAGCAUGAUAUGUGAAACAUCUUCUGCUACAUCAUUUCCUUGACACUGACCCAAAAUUGUAUAAUCAAGACAUUCCUAUGUUAGGAUGUAAGCAGCAUUUUUCCCAGACUAGGUCAGGGUUCUGGUCGUGCGUCGCGCCUGUGGAUCACUUCAAUUUUCCGUUGCGGUAAAGCCAGCAACCCUUUUCCGUAAAUGUCUUCUCGCUCCAUGGAUGAAAAAGAAAAAAAAGACCUCUGUAAGUGUCAGCUAAAUUUUCCAGAAUGACUUUAGUCAUAAAUUAAAUACAAAUUUCACCAUUAGAUUAGCUGAACUAAAACAAUAUCUAAAUUUGACGCUUUGCCACCACAGUUUGCCAAAAGUAGAGUCCUAAUUUCACUGUCUGGAGGGUUUCCCUGCGGAAGGUUCUUUAAAGUUCAGUAAGGCCCACACUCAUCAAUGAGUAACCCCAAAACCCCACAGAUUGCUUGUCAGAGAUGGGACUGACAUUUGAAGUAGCGAGUUUGCUUAUUAAAGUGCAGGCAGUUUUUUUUAUAUCCAUUGUGCAACAGAUGCAUCAGGGAAGGACCAAACCUGCCUGAGUAACUCCCCUCCAUCGCGGAUCAUUUACCCUCUAAAUCAUUGGGGCUGUCUGGAGAGGAGGCAGAGUUCCCCAGACGGGCACAGCAAGCCGACAGAACACAAACUUCAGGCAGGGUAAGUGGCUUCUGUUGUAUGUUUACACUCUUCAAUCGAUGGGUGUUGCAUAACUUUUGGUUGGGCGCUUACCUAACCACUUGUCCCCUUUUCCCCUCUACCCCAUCUGAGGUGCUGCCUCUUCAUCUGCAAUGAAAGCUGACUAAUCACACAGCCCAGAGAGCUCUGACCACGCCAUGCUGUUCCCUCAUCCAUGCUUGAGCUCCUCCCUAAUUGGCAGCUGAGACAACAUGAGGUUCACACUGCUUUCUAAUUAACCGCUGCAAUUGGAUAAUUGAUCGGAGGAAAGGAAAGGGGGACUGGAGAGUACUCAAAAUGUUAAAGUCCUGGGAUUCUCAGUCUCUGAAGAACAAAAUGUAAACUUUUUCGUCUGCAGCUGACAGAGUGUUUCAUCAUUUCUGCAUGUUAACAUUUGAGAUGCAUCCAGUGAAUUUCAGCAGGAUCCCAUCCUCAAAUAUUCAGAAUUUCCUCAACCAAGAGGCUCCUGUCAGACUUCAGCUCAUCAAAAUCACAUUUGAAAAGUUAUUCUGACAGCCUUGAUUUGAAAACAGUCCAAUAUUAUGGAACCACAGUGGUGACAAAUAUACAUCCUUUUCUAAAUUUGUUUUAAAUGUUGCUCAGAGAUACAUUAAUGAAAAGGUAGUAAGUUUCAGUAAUUUUCAGUAGUAAGUGAACCGGACAUAGAGGGUCUCAGUCAGUUCACCCCCUUUGUUAGCUGCUGAACUGAAAGACAGUACAGGCUGAAAACAGCUACAGACAGGAAUAUCUCCACAUCUGGUCAGGAUGUCUCCUAGACGUCUCACUGGUGAGGUGUUCAUGGAAGACCAAGGAUAUGCUGGGGAGAUGUGUCUCUAAUCUAUGUCUCUAAGCUGGCCCGGGAACGCCUCAGGGUCCCCCAGGAAGAGGUGGACAAAGUGGCCACGGAGAAGGAAGUCUGGGUUUCCCUGCUUUGGCUUACUGCUCAGUCUACAUGAUGCUAGAUAAGGAGUAGAAGAUGGAUAGAUGGAUGAUUUUGAGGGAUAUUCCGGCAUAAAAUUAAUUUAGGGUCAAACACACCGUAACACUGAGUUAGACACCUCCUCGAGAGAUGAAAGUUGCUGACCGCUUGCUUCUCUAGUUAUACCAACUUUAGUAACAGCCGCAGGAUAGCAAUACACAGUGGUCUGAGGAGCCACACACAAACCUCAACCAAAACGCCA